GCCUGCUGUGCCCUGACGGCGAACCGACUCGGAUGGCUCGGCGCGC
This 46-nucleotide unclassified non-coding RNA is filed under the name Sorangium cellulosum So ce56. RNAcentral's name for it is "sce_s2m_31". The record is from RNAcentral. Lineage: Bacteria; Pseudomonadati; Myxococcota; Polyangiales; Polyangiaceae.